Molecule: ribosomal RNA, 447 nt
Filed under: uncultured bacterium
Lineage: Bacteria
Description: partial 16S ribosomal RNA
Rfam family: Bacterial small subunit ribosomal RNA
Source: RNAcentral
GUCCAGACUCCUACGGGAGGCAGCAGUGGGGAAUAUUGCACAAUGGGGGGAACCCUGAUGCAGCGACGCCGCGUGGGUGAAGGAGCACCUCGGUGCGUAAAGCCCUAUCGGCAGGGAAGAAGCAAGACGGUACCUGACUAAGAAGCCCCGGCUAACUACGUGCCAGCAGCCGCGGUAAUACGUAGGGGGCGAGCGUUAUCCGGAUUCACUGGGUGUAAAGGGAGCGUAGACGGCCAAGCAAGCCAGGGGUGAAAGCCCGGGGCCCAACCCCGGGACUGCCCUUGGAACUGCUUGGCUGGAGUGCGGGAGGGGCAGGCGGAAUUCCUGGUGUAGCGGUGAAAUGCGUAGAUAUCAGGAGGAACACCGGCGGCGAAGGCGGCCUGCUGGACCGCGACUGACGUUGAGGCCCGAAAGCGUGGGGAGCAAACAGGAUUAGAUACCCGGGUA